RNAcentral lists this ribosomal RNA (492 nucleotides) under uncultured bacterium. RNAcentral's name for it is "partial 16S ribosomal RNA". It matches the Rfam family "Bacterial small subunit ribosomal RNA", at positions 29 to 507 of the family's 1533-position model. The record is from RNAcentral.
AGUGAACGCUGGCGGUAGGCCUAACACAUGCAAGUCGAACGGCGGCACAGUAAGAGCUUGCUCUUACGGGUGGCGAGUGGCGGACGGGUGAGGAAUACAUCGGAAUCUACUUUUUCGUAGGGGAUAACGUAGGGAAACUUACGCUAAUACCGCAUACGACCUACGGGUGAAAACAGGGGAUCUUCGGACCUUGCGCGAUUGAAUGAGCCGAUGUCGGAUUAGCUAGUUGGCGGGGUAAAGGCCCACCAAGGCGACGAUCCGUAGCUGGUCUGAGAGGAUGAUCAGCCACACUGGAACUGAGACACGGUCCAGACUCCUACGGGAGGCAGCAGUGGGGAAUAUUGGACAAUGGGCGCAAGCCUGAUCCAGCCAUACCGCGUGGGUGAAGAAGGCCUUCGGGUUGUAAGGCCCUUUUGUUGGGAAAGAAGAGCAGCAGGUUAAUACCCCGCUGUUCUGACGGUACCCAAAGAAUAAGCACCGGCUAACUUCGUG